GAAUUACAUGAUGAAUAGAAGAUAUUUCCCUAUCGGUUUGAUUGUCGUGAUGAUGGCAUCUCUAAGUAUAUUAGCUCUGUCUUAUCAUUA
Small nucleolar RNA from Carya illinoinensis, 90 nucleotides. RefSeq annotates it as small nucleolar RNA Z102/R77. NCBI's taxonomy places the organism in Eukaryota, Viridiplantae, Streptophyta, Magnoliopsida, Fagales, Juglandaceae. The transcript has a single exon. The record is from RefSeq and is a predicted model, not a curated record.